UUUCAGGAGGGAGAAAUCACACCCUGACUAAUGAUCUGGUCAAGAAAGAUAUUACAGAAGAGGUGGAAUUUGACUGAGUGGAUUGAAGGUGCAUUGAAGAAAGUAUAAAAUUUUGAUAGACAUAAAAAGGACAGCUUAAACCUUACUUGGAAGAAGAAAGUAUCCAGUAGGAGAAAGAGAUUAAUAGUGUCAGAAGCAGCAGAAAGUUCAAGAGAAGCAAGGAUGUUUUUUUUUUUUAAGUCACUGAAUUUGAUUAUUAGGAAAUCACUGGUGCUUUUUGAAAGAGUCAUUUCAAUAUUAAUAAUGAGGACAGAAACCAGGUAAGGAGACAAUAGAAACACAGGAUCUAGAAAACUUUUUUAUGAUGUUUAGUUCUGAAAAAGAUAGAUAUAGAAUGAUAACUAAAGAGGAUAGAAUGGUCCAGGGAAAUGGAAUGGUGGGUGCUAUCCUAGAGAGCUAGGUGGCAUAGUGGAUAGAAUCCUGGAAUUGGAGUCCAGACCU
RNAcentral lists this long non-coding RNA (501 nucleotides) under Monodelphis domestica (gray short-tailed opossum). RNAcentral's name for it is "lncRNA (ENSMODG00000038216.1)". Lineage: Eukaryota; Metazoa; Chordata; Mammalia; Didelphimorphia; Didelphidae. The record is from RNAcentral.